UACGGGGGGGGCAAGCGUUGUUCGGAAUUACUGGGCGUAAAGGGCUCGUAGGCGGCCAACUAAGUCAGACGUGAAAUCCCUCGGCUUAACCGGGGAACUGCGUCUGAUAGUGCAUGGCUUGAGGUUGGGAGAGGGAUGCGGAAUUCCAGGUGUAGCGGUGAAAUUCGUAGAUAUCGGGAGGAACACCUGUGGCGAAGGCGGCCAUCUGGACAGUCACUGACACUGAGACGCGAAAGCGUGGGUAGCAAACAGG
This 253-nucleotide ribosomal RNA is filed under the name uncultured bacterium. Its description in RNAcentral is "partial 16S ribosomal RNA". It matches the Rfam family "Bacterial small subunit ribosomal RNA", at positions 524 to 776 of the family's 1533-position model. The record is from RNAcentral.